AGAAAGGUAGUCCAAAAUAAGACCCCUGAUUUCGGCUCAGAAAAUCGUGGUUUAAACCCACGCCCUUCUU
This 70-nucleotide transfer RNA is filed under the name Apteronotus rostratus. RNAcentral's name for it is "tRNA-Arg". It matches the Rfam family "tRNA". Rfam says of the family: Transfer RNA (tRNA) molecules are approximately 80 nucleotides in length. The record is from RNAcentral. Lineage: Eukaryota; Metazoa; Chordata; Actinopteri; Gymnotiformes; Apteronotidae.